UACGUAGGGGGCUAGCGUUGUCCGGAAUCAUUGGGCGUAAAGCGCGCGUAGGCGGCCCGGUAAGUCCGCUCUGAAAGUCCAGGGCUCAACCCUGGAAUGCGGGUGGAUACUGCCGGGCUAGAGUCCGGAAGAGGCGAGUGGAAUUCCUGGUGUAGCGGUGGAAUGUGCAGAUAUCAGGAGGAACACCAAUAGCGAAGGCAGCUCGCUGGGACGGUACUGACGCUAAGGCGCGAAAGCGUGGGGAGCGAACAGG
This 253-nucleotide ribosomal RNA is filed under the name uncultured bacterium. RNAcentral's name for it is "partial 16S ribosomal RNA". It matches the Rfam family "Bacterial small subunit ribosomal RNA", at positions 524 to 776 of the family's 1533-position model. The record is from RNAcentral.